Molecule: long non-coding RNA, 1788 nt
Organism: Helianthus annuus (common sunflower)
Lineage: Eukaryota; Viridiplantae; Streptophyta; Magnoliopsida; Asterales; Asteraceae
Exons: 12
Source: RefSeq, a predicted model, not a curated record
AACAAAAACACACUCUCAUAUUUCGUAUUCACAAUUCACAAACCCUAAUAUACUGCCUCCGCUCUUUUUUUCAUCCGCUUCCUUUAAACCCUAAUUUCAGUUUCAUAUUACCAUUGAUUGGUGCUCCGUUUCUUCUUCUUAUGACAGACUAAGUUUUAUGAGAGACAAUCAAGUUUCUACUCUUCAAAGCCUAAUUGGUUCAGCAGCGUCUUCCUCUGCAAUAAUCAUAUCGACAAAACCAAGAGCGCUAUCCAAAUCAUAAAAGGUAGAGAUCAUUGCUUUGGUUUCAGAUGGCUAAAACCCUCUUGGAAUCGGUCAGUCACAACUAGAGUUAAGGCGAUCUAUCUUCAUCCUAAGAUGAUUUAUUCUAAUAUUUGAUGAUGCAAAUUGUUUUUGAAACGUAUUUGAGCUUAUGUUAAGAGAUACGAUUCAGGUUUUUAGAAUUAAACCCUAUAUCUCUCAUAUGUGAUAUUUUUUUUGAAUCACCUCUUCCAUUCUUGGUCCCUAUUAACGCUUUCUUAUUGUGUGCCAUCACUGAAACAUACCACGUCAAGCAAGGGUGUUAAUGUCUCUGAAGUUAUCAGCCUCCGGCUUCUUUGACCGGUGACUGAUACGAUUGAGAUGCUGGUUCGUAUGUGACAUAAAGGUGUUUGUGGAUGUGACACGGGCACCAGCAAUGGUAAAGUGGUGGAGGAAAUCAAGCUUAACUCUUUCUGGUGGAUGCAGAGGAGGUCUCGAGCUGCAGGGAUUGAUCUUGAUGGAUGUUAUAAGUUUGCGGGGCUUGGUAUAAGUUAAUGUAGUUCUGGUUGUGUACGGCUGUAUGUGUAUUGUCUUCCUUUUGGUGUAACUUUGGGCCUGUUAGUUUCUUGCUAAGAUGUCCUUUAUUUGAUUGUUGCAACUGUUGCGUUCAGAAUGGGGUUGAUAAAGUGACAUUGGAGCUGUAAUUCACUACAGUUUACCUGAAAGUUUCGAAGAGUAUGUUUAGAAAAUUGGACGUGCUGGGCGCGAUGAGCGAGUAUCUUAUUGCCAUUUUUUAUGCACUGCAUACUUUAAGCUCUUUAAGCUCUGAAGUCUUAUGUACAGGAGCUUAAUAAGGUGGCGGUGUUACAAAUAUCCGUGCCAUUAAAUGCUACAAAAAGCAAUUGUUCGAACAACAAUAGGAGCCACUUUAUAUGCUCUUCCGAACACGACUCGCUUAUAUGGAGAGUAGACCAUUCCCGGGUAACAAGAGUACAAGUUAUGGGCCGAAUUCGAACUCCCAAGUGUCGCUUAAGAUAGGAAAUCAUUUGUAGAUCUUACAACUUCUGCCACAUCUUGAAGACAGGAUGAUUCUUUCAGCAUAUUGAAAGGAUUCGUUGUUAACCAGGUGUCACUUGAUUAGAGCCUCUUUGGUUCCAUGUUGGCGCAAUUUACUUUGGGUUAUCGUUCUCAUUAGUGAAGCCCCAUUUGACUAACCCGGUCACAUGUUAUCAUCCAUGAAGGCUCCGAAGAAGAAUAUCCCGGUAGCAACAAAGAAGAAAAUGGUAACCCACAAAUCGUCAUGACAUUCAAUGAGGCUUUCAUGUUCAACACCAUGAGUAGAACCUUUUCUGAACAUGAUAUUGAGGAGGUCCACGCCUAUCAUCCAUCGUCAUUAAACAAGCCUGGUAUGCUUUUUUGUUAUUAUUUUUUUUGUAAGUGUAUUUUGUCUUGAUUACAAUUACCUUAGUGAGUUAUUGAAUCCAUCAUUGAACUUUUUUCUGUUUGUCAUUUUAAUUUUUGAUUAUUGUGAAUGUGAUAUCAUUUGUA